This 429-nucleotide ribosomal RNA is filed under the name Actinomycetes bacterium. RNAcentral's name for it is "Actinobacteria bacterium partial 16S ribosomal RNA". It matches the Rfam family "Bacterial small subunit ribosomal RNA", at positions 355 to 776 of the family's 1533-position model. Lineage: Bacteria; Bacillati; Actinomycetota; Actinomycetes. The record is from RNAcentral. RNAcentral also lists the same sequence under 1 other name.
UAGGGAAUCUUCCGCAAUGGGCGAAAGCCUGACGGAGCAACGCCGCGUAAGUGAUGAAGGUCUUCGGAUCGUAAAACUCUGUUAUUAGGGAAGAACAAAUGUGUAAGUAACUAUGCACGUCUUGACGGUACCUAAUCAGAAAGCCACGGCUAACUACGUGCCAGCAGCCGCGGUAAUACGUAGGUGGCAAGCGUUAUCCGGAAUUAUUGGGCGUAAAGCGCGCGUAGGCGGUUUUUUAAGUCUGAUGUGAAAGCCCACGGCUCAACCGUGGAGGGUCAUUGGAAACUGGAAAACUUGAGUGCAGAAGAGGAAAGUGGAAUUCCAUGUGUAGCGGUGAAAUGCGCAGAGAUAUGGAGGAACACCAGUGGCGAAGGCGACUUUCUGGUCUGUAACUGACGCUGAUGUGCGAAAGCGUGGGGAUCAAACAGG